GAUGAAGAACGCAGCGAAAUGCGAUAAGUAAUGUGAAUUGCAGAAUUCAGUGAAUCAUCGAAUCUUUGAACGCACCUUGCGCUCUUUGGUAUUCCGAAGAGCAUGCCUGUUUGAGUGUCAUGAAAAUAUCAACCUUGACUUGGGUUUUGUGCUCUAGUCUCGGCUUGGAAUUGGGUGCUUGCCGCUUUUACGAGCGGCUCACCUUAAAUGUAUUAUCUGGAUCUGUCUUUGAGACUUGGUUUGACUUGGCGUAAUAAGUAUUUCGCUAAGGACAUUCUUCGGAGUGGCCUCGUUUCUAGGACGCUUGUCCGCUUUCCAAUACAAGUUCCACCUCGUGGACAUGACUUUUUAUUAUCUGGCCUCAAAUCAGGUAGGACUACCCGCUGAACUUAAGCAUAUCAAUAAGCGGAGGA
Molecule: unclassified non-coding RNA, 413 nt
Filed under: soil metagenome
Description: partial contains 5.8S ribosomal RNA, internal transcribed spacer 2, and large subunit ribosomal RNA
Rfam family: 5.8S ribosomal RNA (bases 1-120)
Source: RNAcentral